This 300-nucleotide ribosomal RNA is filed under the name uncultured Xenococcaceae cyanobacterium. RNAcentral describes it as "bacterial SSU rRNA". It matches the Rfam family "Bacterial small subunit ribosomal RNA", at positions 115 to 432 of the family's 1533-position model. The record is from RNAcentral. Lineage: Bacteria; Bacillati; Cyanobacteriota; Cyanophyceae; Pleurocapsales; Xenococcaceae.
GCGUGAGAAUCUGGCUUCAGGUUGGGGACAACCACGGGAAACGGUGGCUAAUACCCAAUGUGCCGUUGAGGUGAAAGAUUAAUUGCCUGAAGAUGAGCUCGCGUCUGAUUAGCUAGUUGGUGGGGUAAGAGCUCACCAAGGCUCCGAUCAGUAGCUGGUCUGAGAGGACGAUCAGCCACACUGGGACUGAGACACGGCCCAGACUCCUACGGGAGGCAGCAGUGGGGAAUUUUCCGCAAUGGGCGAAAGCCUGACGGAGCAAUACCGCGUGAGGGAGGAAGGCUCUUGGGUUGUAAACCU